CCAAUAGCGUAUAUUAAAGUUGUUGCAGUUAAAAAGCUCGUAGUUGAAUUUCGGGGUUAGUAGGUUGGUCAUGCCUCUGGUAUGUACUGGUCUCACUGAUUCCUCCUUCCUUAUGAACCGUAAUGCCAUUAAUUUGGUGUUGCGGGAAAUUUGGACUGUUACUUUGAAAAAAUUAGAGUGUUUAAAGCAGGCUAACGCUUGAAUACAUUAGCAUGGAAUAAUGAAAUAGGACGUUCGAUCUUAUUUUGUUGGUUUCUAGGAUUGACGUAAUGAUUAAUAGGGAUAGUUGGGGGCAUUAGUAUUCAAUUGUCAGAGGUGAAAUUCUUGGAUUUAUUGAAGACUAACUACUGCGAAAGCAUUUGCCAAGGAUGUUUUCAUUAAUCAAGAACGAAAGUUAGGGGAUCGAAGACGAUCAGAUACCGUCGUAGUCUUAACCAUAAACUAUGCCGACUAGGGAUCGGAUGAUGUUAAUUUUUUAAUGACUCAUUCGGCGCCUUACG
Molecule: ribosomal RNA, 500 nt
Filed under: uncultured Glomeromycotina
Lineage: Eukaryota; Fungi; Glomeromycota
Description: partial small subunit ribosomal RNA
Rfam family: Eukaryotic small subunit ribosomal RNA
Source: RNAcentral